This is a ribosomal RNA of 402 nucleotides. It matches the Rfam family "Bacterial small subunit ribosomal RNA", at positions 355 to 774 of the family's 1533-position model.
UGGGGAAUAUUGCACAAUGGGCGAAAGCCUGAUGCAGCGAUGCCGCGUGGGGGAAGAAGGUUUUCGGAUUGUAAACCCCUGUCGGUGAGGACGAAAAUGACGGUACUCACCAAGGAAGCUCCGGCUAACUACGUGCCAGCAGCCGCGGUAAUACGUAGGGAGCGAGCGUUGUCCGGAAUUACUGGGUGUAAAGGGAGUGUAGGCGGGACUGUAAGUCAGGCGUGAAAUCUGUGGGCUCAACCUACAGACUGCGUUUGAAACUAUGGUUCUUGAGUGAAGUAGAGGUUGGCGGAAUUCCCGGUGUAGCGGUGAAAUGCGUAGAUAUCGGGAGGAACAUCAGUGGCGAAGGCGGCCAACUGGGCUUUUACUGACGCUGAGGCUCGAAAGCGUGGGGAGCAAACA